AACGAACGCUGGCGGCAGGCUUAACACAUGCAAGUCGAGCGCCCCGCAAGGGGAGCGGCAGACGGGUGAGUAACGCGUGGGAACGUACCCUUUGCUACGGAAUAGCUCCGGGAAACUGGAAUUAAUACCGUAUGUGCCCUACGGGGGAAAGAUUUAUCGGCAAAGGAUCGGCCCGCGUUGGAUUAGCUAGUUGGUGGGGUAAUGGCCUACCAAGGCGACGAUCCAUAGCUGGUCUGAGAGGAUGAUCAGCCACAUUGGGACUGAGACACGGCCCAAACUCCUACGGGAGGAAGCAGUGGGGAAUAUUGGACAAUGGGCGCAAGCCUGAUCCAGCCAUGCCGCGUGAGUGAUGAAGGCCUUCGGGUUGUAAAGCUCUUUCGCACACGACGAUGAUGACGGUAGUGUGAGAAGAAGCCCCGGCUAACUUCGUGCCAGCCGCCGCGGUAA
RNAcentral lists this ribosomal RNA (447 nucleotides) under uncultured bacterium. RNAcentral describes it as "partial 16S ribosomal RNA". It matches the Rfam family "Bacterial small subunit ribosomal RNA", at positions 29 to 523 of the family's 1533-position model. The record is from RNAcentral.